UCAAACUCAAACUUAACUUCAGCUGCAUUACCCAAAAUCAUACCGAAACUCCAACUUUUGAAGUUAAGAUCCAGAACCCUAACGAGUCCUUUUUCCAACAUGUCUCUCACACUCUUUAUCUAUCCUUAGCCUUUGUCUUGGUUAUACUCGGUUUAGCUUCAAAACCCACUCUUCUUUCCCUCCUCGAACUUCGCAUAUCUUUUCGUCAACUUCUUCAAUUACUGCGUCGAUGUCUACUUCCUCGCCUCCGAUCACCGAUCAUCUGGCUGUAGAUGACAAGAAGCCCGCGCCGCCGCCGAAGCCAUGGCUCAUCGUGGGCCUCGGGAAUCCCGGGAAGAAGUAUGAUCGCACGCGCCAUAAUGUCCCUAGGUUUUGAGAUGGUGGAUCCUGUAGCUGAAGCUGAAGGGAUUUCCAGGUAGGUCUUGUGGGCAUUCAUUUUUUAAUAUCCUUAAUACCAGGAGCUACAGCGGUAGGUUCUCACGUAGUAUCUUUCUGGGCCUGUUUCAUACCCUCUGCCUUUUCUUUAUAUUUAUAUAUAUAUAUCAACAGAAGUUGCAUUCAUGAUGAACAGUUUCUGUGGUCAUUUUGGCCCAAUCUAUUCUAUGCUUCGUAUCUGAGCAAUGCUGUUUUUUAUUUUCUAUUAUCUGUGAGGCAUCUCAGCAGUGCAUGUGUUGUCCAUCCUGAAAAAAAGAAGCAUAUUCCAUUAUAAUGGAUUUCUGGUUGAAAGGUUGUGCUUUUGCAGAAUUUUGUCUCACAAGGAACAAUAUACUUUGAAUAUGAAUUUUGCUUGAAAUUUGACUGCAGAAGUUUUUGUCUUACUGAAAAGCGUACUUUCUUCAGAUCUGAACACAGAUUUUAUAUUUGUGAACUUUUGUAGCUUUUCAGAGGAGAAAAUAGAAUUUACUUGGUUUGACUGAAUAAUAGUAAAUGUAUUAAAAGACACCAUGUGCGCCUGAUCCAAGAAUUUAAGCUCAGUAAAAGAUUCUAGGAUUACGAGUUUUGAUUGUAUGAUUUAAGUUUGUAAAUAGAAUAAACAUUAAGAAGAACAACAGGCCGAGAGAGAUGAAUUUUAAUUGCUUAUUUGCUAUCCGUGGCAGGAUGAGGAGUAUCAUUGAUCACUUGAGAGGCAGUCGAGAUUACCCACGCUGGUUCUAUAUGUGAUAUCAGCUGAUAAAUGGGUGAAAGCAUUCUAGACAUCAUAUGGCGCCCUCCCGGGAAAAUGGAUGCUUCAAUAAACAAGAACGAGAUGAGGUUUCUGGUGAACACCUUCCCUAUGGAAUUGCCUCAUACCAAGACGAUUUCAUGUAGCCUUGAACAACAAAGCUUCUACGUCUUCCUUUGAUUCAAUUCGCCUCUCCCAUAAAAUAUUUUCUUUAAACGUCAAUUAACACCCACCCAGUUGUCGUUGUAAGCAGUGAUAUCAGGAAGCGGUGUGGGGUUGAAGAAUCGAGAGGGAGAACUGAUUGUCAUAAAAUCUGUAGAUAAGGCUUAGUUAGACACUUGUUGUGCAGCGCUCUGUUUCCAUGGCCGCCCUCAACGUCCUCCAUAAAUGCAAAACCAUCCUCAACUCCAACGCUUUACUCCCUUCUUACGUCUGCUUGCCCUCUUCUUCCUUCUCCCUCUUAUUUAUUGUUAUGGUUGAGCGGGAACUGAGCAUUCUAGGUAAGAGUUAAGACAUGAGUUUUGGCUAUUACAUAUGGUAUAGAGCAAUACAGAGGUGUGUACUAGUGAGGACACUGACCUUCAAAAGAGUGGAUUGUAAGCUUCCAUGUCGGUUGGAGAGAGGAACGCAACAUUCCUUUAAGAAUGUGGAAAUCUCUCUCUAAUAGACGUAUUUUAAAAUUGUAAGACGGAAAACAUAUAGAUAUGGUUUUAUUUCAUGACAGGAGACGAUUGGAGUUCAAAAUUGGAGUUCAAAAAAGGGAGUAAUGUCCCAUUCAAUUCAAACAUUCACAUGAAGGCACCGCCCCCAUUGUUGUCUUUUCUUUUUUGUAUUUAUUUAUUCCUAUUCAUAAUAAGAAUUCCCAUGUGCCCUCCUAUUAAAU
Cucurbita moschata (crookneck pumpkin) is the source of this 2045-nucleotide long non-coding RNA. RefSeq lists it as uncharacterized. The transcript has 3 exons. Lineage: Eukaryota; Viridiplantae; Streptophyta; Magnoliopsida; Cucurbitales; Cucurbitaceae. The record is from RefSeq and is a predicted model, not a curated record.